AACGAGCUCUGAGGAACUUUUUCUACUGUUCAAAUCCUGGUAAACAUUGUAAAUUUGCAAGUAAACAGCAGCGACAAUAGCCAAGUAUUUCUCGGAAAUGAAAUUUAAACGAAUUACUCAACAAAGUUACAAGUGAAAACAGUGAAUGUAUCUGCACCAGCUCCAGAGAAGAUAAGGUAUUGAGGCUUUUAACAUCCCUCCGCGCUGGUGUGUAUCAUUCCAGAUCUAGAAUUCCGAAAUUGGAGAGAAGUAUCUUUACUUGAUCAACAAAGUCCGAGCCAGUUGCAUACUCUGUUAGCAUUCCAACGGCAAAACCGAACAUUGCCCAUCUGUAAUGCCAAAAUCACAAAUACAUGAGAACAAGAUCACAGAUCAACAAACUAAACUAU
This 389-nucleotide long non-coding RNA is filed under the name Malus domestica (apple). RNAcentral's name for it is "long non-coding RNA (MDOM_LNC004323)". Lineage: Eukaryota; Viridiplantae; Streptophyta; Magnoliopsida; Rosales; Rosaceae. The record is from RNAcentral.